GAAAAGAGCGGUCGACAAAGGCCUUUAUUUCAGCAAGAAGACCAGUCGAUUGAGCCACAUAAGGGAAAAGACUUAGUAAAUUUAAAAAUCCAUAGUCCUUGAUAGUCAGCGUCAACAACAUGUUGGAGCAGUUAGAACUCAACGUGGGUUUUAAAUAGAUAAUGUCGUGGAUGACACGUAAAGACGCUUGUGGGAACUUGAAGAUUGAACGUGGAGUAAAUAGAUAGUGUCGUGGAUGAAAUUCAAUU
Molecule: long non-coding RNA, 248 nt
Filed under: Lathyrus oleraceus (garden pea)
Lineage: Eukaryota; Viridiplantae; Streptophyta; Magnoliopsida; Fabales; Fabaceae
Description: Pisum sativum (pea) long non-coding RNA (PSAT_LNC013523)
Source: RNAcentral